AUUGAACGCUGGCGGCAUGCCUUACACAUGCAAGUCGAACGGCAGCAUGAUCUAGCUUGCUCGAUUGAUGGCGAGUGGCGAACGGGUGAGUAAUACAUCGGAACGUGCCCUGUAGUGGGGGAUAACUAGUCGAAAGAUUAGCUAAUACCGCAUACGACCUGAGGGUGAAAGUGGGGGACCGCAAGGCCUCAUGCUAUAGGAGCGGCCGAUGUCUGAUUAGCUAGUUGGUGAGGUAAAGGCUCACCAAGGCGACGAUCAGUAGCUGGUCUGAGAGGACGAUCAGCCACACUGGGACUGAGACACGGCCCAGACUCCUACGGGAGGCAGCAGUGGGGAAUUUUGGACAAUGGGCGAAAGCCUGAUCCAGCAAUGCCGCGUGUGUGAAGAAGGCCUUCGGGUUGUAAUGCACUUUUGUCCGGAAAGAAAUGGCUCUGGUUAAUACCUGGGGUCGAUGACGGUACCGGAAGAAUAAGGACCGGCUAACUACGUG
This 490-nucleotide ribosomal RNA is filed under the name uncultured bacterium. RNAcentral describes it as "partial 16S ribosomal RNA". It matches the Rfam family "Bacterial small subunit ribosomal RNA", at positions 30 to 507 of the family's 1533-position model. The record is from RNAcentral.